Paramuricea clavata is the source of this 4655-nucleotide non-coding RNA. The record is from the annotation of a GenBank genome assembly. NCBI's taxonomy places the organism in Eukaryota, Metazoa, Cnidaria, Anthozoa, Malacalcyonacea, Plexauridae.
ACUCGCGUAAGUCGAUUUGUUAUAGGUUACAUUACAGCCUGAGCUAUAGCAGAUGUUCCAAAUACAGUAAAAUUAAAAAAUAUUGAGUAGCGAAAUAGCGAAAUAGUUCGCUACAUUUUUUAAGCAGUAGCUGUAGUCAGUAGCGAACUACUUUUGUUCAAAAGUAGCAGUAGUUGUAGCUGACUACAUAUUUUUGAAGUAGCUGUAGUUAUAGCGAACUACAAAAAAAUUGUAGUCAACCCACCCUUGGAAAAAUCAUAUGGUAGUUGGCGAAUAGCUUCGUUCAAAGUAAAAUAGUCUGGGGUCGGUUGUUCAAAGCUGGGUUAGCUUAACCCUAGGUUAACGUACGCAAAAUUCAAAUCAAACUUCCUCACAGCUUGUCUAUAAAUUUGAAAAUAUUUCUUCAGAGAUCUUGUCUGGAUCGAUAAGAGUUUACUUCUCUGAAGUUUUGCAAUAAACAGACGUGCAGAAAUAUAUAAACUAAAACAGCAGGUUAAAUUUUAACCCAGGGUUAGCGCUAAGGGACCAUUCAUUAUUUAUGACCGGGGGUGGGCUGGCAAAAUUCAAUUAACAACUAAACAAAAUGUCCUGACCCACCCUCUGCAUCACAAAAAAAAUUGAAUGACCCCCUUCACACGAAUUCUAAAAAAUAGUACCCCCCCAACGACAAUAUAAUACAUGUACAGUACUGUGUAGAAAUGAGCUAUUUAAUUAAAGUUGUUGUAAAAGGCAUCAGAUCUUUCAUGCACUUGUGCUUUCAACAAUUAAUAUGCAUGCCUAUUUAACCCAUUAAGCUAGUGCAGAACUUUCCAAUUGACGAGUAAAAUCGUCUGGCGUUAAUAAACAAGUAAAAAAAUAAAUAGGGUGCACUGGGUCGCAAUGGGUUAACUAGAGACAUUGUCCGAUUUUUUGGUUAACCAUUAAGCUGCAGAACGCCGAAGAGGCUAUAGCUGGGGGUCAUACUAUUUUUCGCUACUAAGAGUGUAGUAAAAAGUUGCUCAAAAAGGAAAAAGUUGCUUGAAGUUGCAAUUGCUCGAGCCAAAAAAAGUUGCUCCAAACGCAAAAAAGGUUGCCCAAAAGUUGCCGAGCACAAUCGGGACAUGCCUAACAGAGCUUCCCCGUUGACAAGUAAAAUCGGUUAGGAGGUUAGGGUACUUGACGUCAAUGAACUACAAAGACUGUUAAACAGCUAGUGACUCGGGCUCGGAUUUGACUCGGGCUCGGAUUUGACUCGGACUUGACACGGUUAACCGACAAAUGCCUUACUAAAUUAAACCAUGUAUAAAAUACCUAGUAUAAACUAGUGUAUAUAGUAUAUGCCAAACUUUCCCUGGACGUAAUGUUGCUACAUCGCUUACUCGUUAAUUAUAGUGACUGCCUUUUUUAUUAAAAUGUACAUAAUUGAAAUAUGACAAAAAUUUAUGGCAAGUUCAUGACAAAAGUUAUAAGGUAGAUGUUCGAUUAUUUUACAUAUUAGGUGCGCGCAUUGCAUUGUGGGUAUUUGUGCAUUGCUUUUUGGGUCUAUCUGUUGAUUAAAAUUGAGAAUUUUGCUAGCUAUACAUGAAUUAAAUUUGCUGCCUUGCUCGCUCCCUGUGGUAGCAAUAAUCGUUACAGGUCAAAUUUCUCUCCACUAUAAUACCACUAUAAUAAAUAACUGGACCCCCCUUCUGAACCAAUAUUUUUUAGGUGCCCCCCCCUUUUUCGGUCAAAAAUACCUCAUGACCCACCUCCUUGUUUGGCCAGCCCACUCCCAGUCAUAAAUAAUUAAUGGUCCCUAACCCACCGUUGAACAACCGGCCCCUGGUGUUCAGAGUAAAAUAGUCAGUCAUUAACAUUAGAGUAUAAAAAUACUACUAAAGACACUAAAAAGUCACGACGCAUUCCCGUUUAAUUAAUGUGAUAACUAAUGUUGGAGUAGGGUUUGCAGAUGGUCAAGUUAACCCGUUAACAUCUGAAACACAUAAAAUCGUCUAGCGCUAGGCCUUGGAGUAAAAUAAAAAACUCCGGACGUUUCAGGGCGUAUUAUCGUACGUUUACGUGUAAUGGGUCAAUUGUGCUCCAAUGGCAAUGUUUAUAGCAUUAAUUUAGUUGUGACAAUAUUUAGUUGCAACGUUAUUCACAACGUUAGAAGAUAUUUGUCAUAACGUGAAAGAUUGUGGCUGUCAUGUGUGAUUGUAUAUAUUGUUCUAGGCGUUUUCAGUCAUAUUAACAGAUUUUCAGACCCUAACUUUGUUCUACUUUAGCUAUAUAACUGCUCUUACAGCAAAAUAGUUGCACGAGUCUACUGCAUCCUAUAGUAAAAAUUUAGUUUUUACUCUGAUUAAGUAACAAUAUAAAAUCAAUUUAACUGUGGAAGACAUGGCGAUGUGCACAUGAAACUACAUCAUCAGACACAGUGCACUCGUGCAACUAUUUUCCUGUGAGAACAAGUGCAUAGCUUAAGCAGAUACGGACAUGGAAUUAAAUCAGCAGACACAGUGCACUCGUGCAACUAUUUUCCUGUGAUAUCGAGUGCAUAGCUUAAGCAGAGCAAAAGUUAGGGUCAUAAAACCUGUCAACAUAACUAAAAAUGAAUAAAACAACUGUACUUAGAAUACUGAAAAUUUAGGGUAAUAAAAACAGUUAAUAUGACUAAAAAUGACUAAAACAACUGUACCAUACGAACAAAGCAGAAGAACUUCCCCUAUUUCAUGAAAUACUACACCCAAUUAAACUAAACUUUGGGAAAACUAAAAGCAGACAUAUCUGAUAGCACUUAUAAUCAAAUAAUCAAAGUAAGGUAUCUGUCGGAUUAUUUGGCCAUUAACGCCUGUUUAUCCAUGGUAUCCAAUAGUAAAAACUUAGUAUUUACUCUAAUAAACAAUAUAAAGUCACCCUAAUUGUGGAAGACUUGGCAAUAUACGUACAUAAAACUACAUCAAUAGACACAGUGCACUCGUGCAAGUAUUUUUCUGUGAGAACAAGUGCAUAGCUUAAGCAGCAUAAAGGUUAGAGUCAGAAAACCUGCUAAUGAUGACUGAAAAUGCUUAAACAACUGUACCAUAGGAAUUAAGCAAAAGAACCCCCUCUAUUUCUUGAAAGUCUUCGCCAGAUAGCACCAAACCUUUGGGAAACCUAAAAGCAGACAUGCUGCAUGGUUCCUGUAAUUAAUGUACGGUAUUUUUCAGGCUAUACUUGGCCAUUAACGCCUGUUGAAACAUAGUAUCAUAUAUAGUAAAAACACAGUUUUUAUUUAUUCUGAUGAACAUCAUAAAGCCAACUUACCUGUGGAAGACAUGGCGAUGCAUCAUACAGCAAACGACAGCAAACGCUCUCUCUGUUGGAAGAGGUUAACAUGUGUACCACCAAGCAAUGCUAAGUUAAAUUAAGGGGGCUUUGUGUUAUUUUUCACAGAAAAAAAACAGUAUUUAUACUGUAAAGUAGCUUGUUUAAUUUAAACAGGCACCAAAACCUAAAUACUGUAAAGAAUGUAUUUGUUUAACACGACACACCCUUGGCUAUGUAUGCCUUAAAUGUUUCCAGAGUUUGGUGUAAUUGGAGUUAGUGCUUCAUGAAUUACAGGGUGGUUUAGGGUGACGUCUUAUUGUUUACUGGUCUUAAAUAUUUUUAUGGGAUUUUAACCGGUUUUCUGAAUGUAAUUUCAGUUCUAGUUAAACUACAGCAGUAUAACAUACAGCAAACGAUUGUAUAUGUUCGCUCUAUCUUCAGGUAGAGUUUAACAUGUGUACCACUAUGCAUUGCUAAGUUAAGGGGGCGUUGAGUUGUUUUUCACAGAAAAAAAACCAAAUUGAUAGUAGUAUUUAUACUGUAAGGUAGCUUGUUUAAACAGGCGCCAAAGCAUAAAUACUGCAAAAAGUAUAUUAGUUUAACUUGACGCACCAUUUGCUAUGUACGCUUUAAGGCCACUACAAGUUAAUCUUUAGUUUCUAGUCCGCCGCCCGCGUCCUUUGUUCGUAAAGUAUUAUUUCAGGACUAUUUUGUUAUUUACAAUUAAUUUCUAGUUCUUGAAAAUUUCCGCGAAGGGUUUAACUUAUAGAACGAUAAAUAUUCAAUCUCCACUAAAAAGACCUAGCAAAAUGUAGUAUUGAAUGGUAAAAACCGCUGCCUUAUCAAGAUUACGAGGUAAAAAAAAACUAGACUAUUAAAAGGUCAUUUUGAUAUGUAAAAUCCUUUGUAAUCUGUCAUACAUGUCGAUUUAUAAAUAAUAUAAAUGCAAUUUAUCUAAAAUUUCAUAACAUUUUGAUACAAUUCGCAUGAAAAGGGACACGAAAGACAACAGAAAUGUGGGCAAAGCCAGAAUAGUAAUUAUUCCCUAUAGUCCUAACCACCCGUCCGCCCGCGUCGUAAACGAAGGUAAGGCCGGACCAGAAACUAAAGAUUAACUUGUAGUGGCCUAAGCGUUUCCAGAGUUUGGUGUAAUUGGGGUUAGUGGUUCAUGAAUUACAGGGUGGUUUAGGGUGACGUUUAUUGUUUACUGGUCUCACACAUUUUUAUGGGAUUUUAACCGGUUUUCACAAUGUAAUUUUAGAUCUAUUUAAGCUACAGCAGUGCCAUAUACAGCAAACGACUUGCCUAUGUUCGCUCUCUCUACUGGUAGAGUUUAACAUGUGUACUACCAUGCAUUGCUAAGUUAAGGGGGCUUUGUGAAGUUUUUC